RNAcentral lists this ribosomal RNA (289 nucleotides) under Tantilla melanocephala (black-headed snake). RNAcentral's name for it is "partial 12S ribosomal RNA". Lineage: Eukaryota; Metazoa; Chordata; Lepidosauria; Squamata; Colubridae. The record is from RNAcentral.
AAAGACUUGACGGUAUCUCACAACAACCUAGAGGAGCCUGUCAAAUAACCGAUACCCCGCGAUUAACCCCACCCACUCUGGCCUAAACAGUCUAUAUACCGCCGUCGCCAGCCCACCUUAUGAAAGAAACAAAGUGGGCCAAACAACCACCACGCUAAUACGACAGGUCGAGGUGUAACUUAUGAGUGGGACCAUGAUGGGCUACAUUUUCUAAGACAGAAAAUACGAAUAAACUAUGAAACAAGAACCUGAAGGCGGAUUUAGCAGUAUAUUAAGAAUAAAACACUUA